Long non-coding RNA from Chiroxiphia lanceolata (lance-tailed manakin), 2201 nucleotides. RefSeq lists it as uncharacterized. Lineage: Eukaryota; Metazoa; Chordata; Aves; Passeriformes; Pipridae. The record is from RefSeq and is a predicted model, not a curated record. The transcript has 3 exons.
AAUAAAAAGUUCAAACUCCUUUCCUUCCUAUGCAAAUGCCUUGACAUUCACUUUAUAUCAGAUGGAAUUUUCUUUUCCCUUGUUAUUCAAACCAAGAAAAUGAGCUCUCUUUUUCAUGUAGUUCACUUUUUUUAUAGUGUAGUCUCCAGAUAUUGUUGUCAACAGUGAACAGAUGAAGCCUCCCUGCAACAUAAUGACAUAUCACAACGGCAUCGUGGUCUAUAUUAGGGUUUAGAAAAAUCACCAGUUGAUAAAUAUUGCUUUUGAUAGCUCAGAGCAUAGGCUUGAUCUAUGUCUUAGUCCUGCAGAGAUGUAGCUAUUUUACAGUUACAUCUUCCUAAGCCAAACAAGCUGGAAGAAAGGUGUUUUAAAAAGCAUAUUCUGUUAUUGUGGAAUUCUUUCACUAACCAAAAUAAAUUUCUGUUCAGCACCUCAGGACCUCAAUGACUUCUUGAAACUGAGUACUCCUAGAAUAAAGUGGAGAAUAAAUACAAGAAUGGAAGAACAAACUAAUCAAAAUCGUGCUCUGGAAUUAACUUGAAAAAAUGUAUGAUGAUGUGACUAGAUUUAUGCCUCCUUAGAAGUCUUAGAAGUCAAGAAGACUUGAAUAGAAAUGCCUAUUUAGAAAUAUGUAAAUGAAAGGACAUACAAUCAGCAGGAAGACUUAUUUCUCACAGUAACAGGUUCUAAAGCACUGAUUGUACAAACUCAUUGAAAUUAAUUUAUUCAAUUCAGUAAGGAAGCUGCAUUAUGCUCCUACUCUCCAUAGCUUCUCUCUGUUGUCAGCUGUGGGGCAGCCACAGGCUAAUUGAGAUUAUAUUAGGGCUGAAGUAACCCAUCCGUAGUGAAUAUUUAUUUCUGAAAACAUGGUUCCUAACUCAUAAUCUCUUUUAAGAGACUGUUGGCUGGUAGAGAAGGUCAUGACAGCUGUAUUUAAUAGCUCUUAGUCAUCUUUGGCAGUAAGAAUUAUGUAUAUAAUAUAACAUUUCAUAUGUAUAUGAAGCCGAUCAGACAUACUUUUUGAAAAAACCAUGAACGAAUUAAUUUUGUGAAAAGAUUGGACUAGUAGAACAGAGGAGUAAUCUUGGAACACAUCUACCACCUAGCAGGUAAAAUCAAUACAAACCCUAGACCCCUGCAAAUUCAAAAUUAACUUUGAAAAAGGUAAAGAAUUUGUACAGUAAUGACCCAUGGGAAAAUAGAAUUCUUGUCUUGUAAGAGAACUUGAGAACUUAUUGAGGGUUCAGGACUCACAGUGAACGGCAGAAUAAAGAAUGCUACAGAGUCCAGAAUAACAAGUAGAAUUUUGUCAAGGUAUGUUAAUAUUUCUUGUUAAGGAAUAUUGCUGCAAAGCUUUGUCUCAGAAGGCUGCUUUGGUAUUAGAAAUCUUGCCUUUGAGUUACACAGGGAAAAAAAUUCAUCAGAAUAAAGUAUUUUGUUGUUCAGAAACUGUGGAAAGUGUCAACUGAUAAUGAAAAUCUUUUAUAAUGCCUAGGAUUCAGAAUGAUAACUGAACAGGAUGUAUACUUGUUCAGAUGCAUAUACUGAACAAUUCUAAUAAAUGAAAUAGAUCCACUCAUAUAGAAUAAGUAUAAGCUUCAUUCUUGGUUAAAUCUAAACCUGGGAAGAUAAAGCAAGAAUAGAUGAGCAUGCAUGAAACUGAAUAAUAGGAAGUGAAACACAGCAAUCCUGAAACUGAAGGAAAAAAAAUACUUUAUUUAAGGUGUGUUUUUUUACAAUCCCACAUUUGACCAACAAAGUCUUUGAAUGAAGAACUUUACAGAGACGACUUAUAAUUCUGUUCAAUGGAUGAUUUAAAGCACGUAGAUCUCAAGAAACAGAAGAAAUGUGUUUAACUGUGGGGGCAGAGUGGGGGAAAUCCUCCUAUCACCAUGGUAGCAAGUGGUCUUUGUCAGUGCCUGUGCUUAUGUUUCGUGUAAGAGAAUAUGGUCUUUUAGGCUGCAGAACUGUAAUGUCAUUUUGAAAAUGCACUGGGACCAGACAUAAUGCACUGUCCUAUGAAUUCUGAAAGUGCAAUUAAAAGCAGACCAGUGAUGACAGCAAGGUCUUAACUUGCUUACACUGAGGGUCAUGAACAUCAAAUUUUUCAGCCAAGGGUGAAAUAGCAUCCUCAUAAUUAACCGGUCUUAGAAACUACAACAUGCCAACUGCACCUAGUAUACCCAAGAAAUUUUAGAAUG